This 1466-nucleotide long non-coding RNA is filed under the name Homo sapiens (human). RNAcentral's name for it is "non-protein coding lnc-VSTM4-1:3". The record is from RNAcentral. Lineage: Eukaryota; Metazoa; Chordata; Mammalia; Primates; Hominidae.
ACAUUUGAGGGGUAUAGUAAUAUACACGCCAAGAGGACACACAUGCAAAUAUCCACGUGCCAUGCCCAAUACAGGUCCCUUUCCAACAAAGCAGUUUUGAGCAAUGUAAGAACAACAUGCCUUUUUAUUAGAGACCUCCAGCAGUUUAGGCUUGUAAAUCUGCACAUAUUUUAGAUUUGUUAACUCUAAACUGCAGGCCAGUGUGAUUAUUUGAAUAUGUCCAUGUCAUCCUGUCAUUUCAUGUUAAUCUUCCCUUGAACUGUAAUCACAAUCUUGGCAGUCAGUCCAAUGGGGUGGCAGAGACUUAGGGUCAGGGCAGACAGAGAGGAAGGUUGUGGAUCUGGGGCUCCCUGUCAGUCUAAGACCCCCUUAAGUAAGUUUCCUAAUGCCAUCAGCUGCUGUGUCCAGAGAGAAAAAUCUCUCAAAGCCUGCAAAAAUGACAAUAAUGACCUGCAUUUGGGGUAGAUUCUUGUCUGUGGCUACUAUUAUUCUGUCAUCAGUACUCUACUAGUUAGGAUGCACAGGAAGUGUCCCCAUUUGACAGAAGACCAGAGAAGCUGCUGUGACAGAGUUGGGUCUAGAACCUUGUUUCCUGCUUUUUACUCUGCUUCUCAUUCACUAGACCCCAUGACCAGUGAGUGCAACCUCACCACAACCAUUGAUGCUGAAUAGGAACCUGCAAAUCCAAUGGCACUGCCAGAAUCAACUGAAUGGCUCUGAGAAGGCAGCCCUCAGAAAUCUGGGAAAUUCUCUCCUAUGGAUGAUCACAGGUUCUGGGAUGCAGAGCAAACAGGGAGCUAAUGGAAGCACUCAGGAUGAUAGAAUUCUAACUUCAUGAAAACAUGUUUGAUUGUGGGUCCCAGUAAAGAUGUCCCAGUUCUCGGCCAGAAUCUUUUCUGAAGACUGAGCUGGAGGAGGUACCCGUUCUGGAAUGGUCUCAAAUGCAACCUGCAGGUUUGGCCCCCUGGAGGAAGUGAGAAGAAUGGAGAUGAACACGUUUCUUGUGUCAUGUCCUCAUUCUGCCCAAGACACACCUACCCGGACCAUGCCGUCUUGACUCCCGGUGAUGAUGAUCUGGCUUGUGUCCCAUGCUGGGCCCUCCAUCAGGCAGCAGCAGGUUAUGGCUCCUUCUGGGCCCCAGGCUGUGGUGAUGCUGGCCAGGGGCUGUCCAUUGACAUUCCACAGGGACAAGUGUGCUCCCGCACAGGAGACAAUGGUGCCCUGUGCAGUGAGAGCUGGCAUCACUCUAAGCUGGAGUCACUGCCUGCCCAUCAGCCACUUGCUCAGCUACCCAGUUGGUACACCCAAGUACUCUCAAUCUGUCAUGCUCUGAAGACCCCCAAGGUACCCCAAAACUUCUUUCCAGCUGACUUACAGGUCUGCUGUGUUUUCACACAGUUGUAAAUUCUUGGUUCUUUUCAUACUGCAGUCAUGUGCUUAGAUACUUCUUUCCUGGCAGAAGGCAC